RNAcentral lists this ribosomal RNA (402 nucleotides) under uncultured bacterium. Its description in RNAcentral is "bacterial SSU rRNA". It matches the Rfam family "Bacterial small subunit ribosomal RNA", at positions 355 to 774 of the family's 1533-position model. The record is from RNAcentral.
UGGGGAAUCUUGCACAAUGGGGGCAACCCUGAUGCAGCGACGCCGCGUGAGCGAUGAAGCCCUUCGGGGCGUAAAGCUCUUUCGACCGGAACGAUAAUGACGGUACCGGGAGAAGAAGCUGCGGCUAACUACGUGCCAGCAGCCGCGGUAAUACGUAGGCAGCAAGCGUUGUUCGGAGUUACUGGGCGUAAAGAGUGCGUAGGCGGUUUUCUAAGUUCGGUGUGAAAUCUCCCGGCUUAACUGGGAGGGUGCGCCGAAGACUGGGAAGCUGGAGUGUUGGAAAGGCAGGCGGAAUUCCUGGUGUAGCGGUGAAAUGCGUAGAUAUCAGGAGGAACACCGGCGGUGUAGACGGCUUGCUAGACCAUAACUGACGCUGAGGCACGAAAGCGUGGGUAGCAAACA